This 253-nucleotide ribosomal RNA is filed under the name uncultured bacterium. RNAcentral describes it as "partial 16S ribosomal RNA". It matches the Rfam family "Bacterial small subunit ribosomal RNA", at positions 524 to 776 of the family's 1533-position model. The record is from RNAcentral.
UACGUAGGGUGCAAGCGUUAUCCGGAUUUACUGGGCUUAAAGGGCGCGUAGGCGGAUAUGUAAGUCAGUUGUGAAAUCUCCAGGCUUAACCUGGAAAUUGCCGUUGAUACUGUAUAUCUUGAAUGCUGUGGAGGUAAGCGGAAUAUGUCAUGUAGCGGUGAAAUGCUUAGAUAUGACAUAGAACACCAGUGGCGAAGGCGGCUCGCUGGGCGAAUAUUGACGCUGAGGCGCGAAAGCGUGGGGAGCAAACAGG